AAUGGGUCAGCGACUUAUAUUCUGUAGCAAGGUUAACCGAAUAGGGGAGCCGAAGGGAAACCGAGUCUUAACUGGGCGUUAAGUUGCAGGGUAUAGACCCGAAACCCGGUGAUCUAGCCAUGGGCAGGUUGAAGGUUGGGUAACACUAACUGGAGGACCGAACCGACUAAUGUUGAAAAAUUAGCGGAUGACUUGUGGCUGGGGGUGAAAGGCCAAUCAAACCGGGAGAUAGCUGGUUCUCCCCGAAAGCUAUUUAGGUAGCGCCUCGUGAAUUCAUCUCCGGGGGUAGAGCACUGUUUCGGCAAGGGGGUCAUCCCGACUUACCAACCCGAUGCAAACUGCGAAUACCGGAGAAUGUUAUCACGGGAGACACACGGCGGGUGCUAACGUCCGUCGU
Molecule: ribosomal RNA, 397 nt
Filed under: Escherichia coli
Lineage: Bacteria; Pseudomonadati; Pseudomonadota; Gammaproteobacteria; Enterobacterales; Enterobacteriaceae
Description: partial 23S ribosomal RNA
Rfam family: Bacterial large subunit ribosomal RNA
Source: RNAcentral